AGGGGGAAAAAAGUUGAAUUAAGGAAGAAAAAGGAUAGAAGAGAAACAAGGCACACCGACUAUAUGUUAUUGUUGUUUAAAAUGAGAAUCGGAAGCCAGGUCCAGCAUCAAAGAGGAACUAUGGCCUCUUCUAUCUUGAUGGUUUAUAACAGUAGAGUUCAGGGUUAUCUUCCUGAGUUCAUCAGCUCGCACAAAUAAUGUAAGAAAAUCAUCUCUUGGUUUCACAAUAACUCAACCGAGUUGCUUAAAUAAUGACAUCUCCACUAAUUCUAUUUAUUUCCAUUAAAUUUUAGCUCUCUGACUUUUCAACCUUCAAAUUUUAAUUUUAUUCAUUAAAAUGCUUUUGAACUGAUUAUUUUUUAUGUUAAACUUUGUCGGAUUAUCAAUUACAUAAAUACAAAUAAACAAUAUUAUAUUAUAUAUUAUAUAUUAAAUUUUAAAUUUUAAAUUAUUUUAAAUAUAUAAAUAGUUUAUAAAAAUCUUUUUUAACUUGAUGACUUUUAUGGGCAUUUUCAUUUUUAUUUUACCGUUGUUUGAAUCUGAAACACAUAUUCUAUCGCUGUUUUAAACCUUAUCAAAGUGUAGCUUAAACAAUAGUUUUUCAAUUUCUACUUAAUAGAAAGACCCUUUAAAUAAUAUGAUUAAAGUAUCAUUGAUGUUCGUUUUGCGAUUCAUAAAAGAUAAAUCUUUUUCAGGGUUUGUAGCUAUCCAUCCCAACAAAGUAGUCUCCAAAACUCGAAUAUGAGUUUUCUCCAUGAAAAGACAAUCUACC
This 772-nucleotide long non-coding RNA is filed under the name Gossypium raimondii (Peruvian cotton). RNAcentral describes it as "long non-coding RNA (GRAI_LNC002547)". The record is from RNAcentral. Lineage: Eukaryota; Viridiplantae; Streptophyta; Magnoliopsida; Malvales; Malvaceae.